This 673-nucleotide long non-coding RNA is filed under the name Apteryx owenii (little spotted kiwi). RNAcentral describes it as "lncRNA (ENSAOWG00000006449.1)". Lineage: Eukaryota; Metazoa; Chordata; Aves; Apterygiformes; Apterygidae. The record is from RNAcentral.
GUAGCAGAGUGCAGGAAGAGGAAUGAACUGCUUUACUAUUUGUAGGAAUUUAAAUUUUGCACUUUGCAUUUCAGGUGACCCAGAUGAGUAUAGCGUAUGCUAGAAGAUUUCCUUUCAACUGUACAAACACUUCAGGAUUGCUCCCUGUGUGUGAAGGGAAAACAGAAGUUGUAUGAUAAAGACUUUUUGUCCACAACGUCUGAAGACUAAUAACCUUAGUGCUCUGCUAAGAAACAGAGCCUUGUAAGAUUCAAGGAAAUCACCUUAUCUGUCUUUUAUCCUGUUUGGAAGCAUCUAAAGAAAAACUGGAGACUGCAGUGACAUACAAAGAACUGAAAGCAGGGAAAAUUGGCCUCUCUAUUUUGGAAGACUUUUGUCUAUGAUUUAUGGAUGUAAGGGCCUUCCCACCUUCUGUCUAUAAGCUGGAUGAAAUAUAUUGCUCUUUUGGAUGGCUGUCAUCCAGAAACAAGACAACAUGAGCUAAUCUCCGUAGAGAAUGGGACAUCAUAUCCUGACCUUGGUACACAGGACAAUAAUACCAAAGGCAUAAUUCUGAAAUCAACAUAAACAAAUCAUGUUAAAACCACUGAUAUUAAAAUCACUGUUACUUGCUACUAGUUUCUUUUGUUUGUUUUGGGCUUGGAAAGGUUUAGGAGCACAAUUUUUAAUAUAU